RNAcentral lists this ribosomal RNA (427 nucleotides) under uncultured bacterium. RNAcentral describes it as "bacterial SSU rRNA". It matches the Rfam family "Bacterial small subunit ribosomal RNA", at positions 354 to 796 of the family's 1533-position model. The record is from RNAcentral.
GUGGGGAAUAUUGCACAAUGGGCGCAAGCCUGAUGCAGCAACGCCGCGUGGAUGAGGAAGGCCUUCGGGUCGUAAAAUCCUGUCCUAAGGGAAGAAAAAAAUGACGGUACCUUAGGAGGAAGCCCCGGCAAACUACGUGCCAGCAGCCGCGGUAAUACGUAGGGGGCAAGCGUUAUCCGGAAUCACUGGGCGUAAAGGGUGCGUAGGCGGCAAAGCAAGCCAGAGGUGAAAGGCAUUGGCUCAACCAAUGUAAGCCUUUGGAACUGCUUAGCUUGAGUGCAGGAGAGGUAAGUGGAAUUCCUAGUGUAGCGGUGAAAUGCGUAGAUAUUAGGAGGAACACCAGUGGCGAAGGCGACUUACUGGACUGUAACUGACGCUGAGGCACGAAAGCGUGGGGAGCAAACAGGAUUAGAUACCCGGGUAGUCC